Molecule: long non-coding RNA, 424 nt
Organism: Bombina bombina (fire-bellied toad)
Lineage: Eukaryota; Metazoa; Chordata; Amphibia; Anura; Bombinatoridae
Exons: 2
Source: RefSeq, a predicted model, not a curated record
GAAAGAAUGAUGCCUUCAAGAAUUCAAAAAAGAAGUUUCUGGAAGCAAUACAGUCCAGCUUUGAAGACAUUGAAGGAGAAGUUCUUCAGGCAAUAUCGGUGACAUCCUUCAAAACAUGGCCUUACAAAGAAAACUCAAAAGACUUUGACAAUGAAGACAUGGGAACUCUGAUCAGUCAGUUUCAACCAGUACUAGAGGCACAGGGUGUUAAUUGUAGGAAAAUAGAGAAUGAAUGGACAGUUCUUAAGACUAGUUUAUAUAACAAGAAUGACUGGGAUAAGCUGAAAACCUGGCCUGAACUCAACAGAGAAUUCAGAGAUAAAUAUGGCCAUAUUCUGAGUUUGAUGGACUUGUUCCUAACUUUGCCAGUCAGCACAUCAGGAUGUGUCAGAGGCUUUUCCAAAAUAAAGAUGAUAAAAAGUGA